UACGAAAGGGGCUAGCGUUGCUCGGAAUCACUGGGCGUAAAGCGCACGUAGGCGGAUUGUUAAGUCAGGGGUGAAAUCCUGGAGCUCAACUCCAGAACUGCCUUUGAUACUGGCGAUCUUGAGUCCGGGAGAGGUGAGUGGAACUGCGAGUGUAGAGGUGAAAUUCGUAGAUAUUCGCAAGAACACCAGUGGCGAAGGCGGCUCACUGGCCCGGUACUGACGCUGAGGUGCGAAAGCGUGGGGAGCAAACAGG
RNAcentral lists this ribosomal RNA (253 nucleotides) under uncultured bacterium. RNAcentral's name for it is "partial 16S ribosomal RNA". It matches the Rfam family "Bacterial small subunit ribosomal RNA", at positions 524 to 776 of the family's 1533-position model. The record is from RNAcentral.